Pteropus vampyrus (large flying fox) is the source of this 107-nucleotide small nuclear RNA. NCBI's taxonomy places the organism in Eukaryota, Metazoa, Chordata, Mammalia, Chiroptera, Pteropodidae. The record is from Ensembl.
GUUCUCACCUCAGCAGGAUAUACACUAAAAUUGAAACAAUACAGAGAAUACUGGCAUGGCCCCUAUGCAAGGAUGACACACAAAUUCAUGAAGUGUUCCAUAUAUAA